AGGGUGUAAACGCUGCAGACUUGGUGUUGGAAGUCCUUUGGGGGCAUUCAGUGCCGGAGAGAAGUUGUUAAGUCUGCUACUUGGGGAGUACGUCCGCAAGGAUGAAACUUAAAGGAAUUGGCGGGGGAGGCACCGCAACGGGAGGAGCGUGCGGUUUAAUUGGAUUCAACACCGUAAAACUACACCAGGGAAGACUGUUACAUGAAAGCCGAGAUGAAGACUCUGCUAGAUUUUCUAGAGAGGAGGUGCAUGGCGUCAGUGACU
This 264-nucleotide ribosomal RNA is filed under the name uncultured archaeon. Its description in RNAcentral is "partial 16S ribosomal RNA". It matches the Rfam family "Archaeal small subunit ribosomal RNA", at positions 748 to 1008 of the family's 1478-position model. The record is from RNAcentral.